This 1323-nucleotide long non-coding RNA is filed under the name Homo sapiens (human). Its description in RNAcentral is "long non-coding RNA NONHSAT226439". The record is from RNAcentral. Lineage: Eukaryota; Metazoa; Chordata; Mammalia; Primates; Hominidae.
CCAGGCAUAUUACGAAUUCCUGACCUCAGUUGAUCUCCUGCCUUGGCCUCACAAAGUGUUGGAAUUACAGGUGUGAGCCACUGUGCCCAGCCAAGCACAUGUUUAAGAGAGCAGAGGGCUUGGAAAUGAAAUUAUUGCCAACUUUGCCAAUAGUCAAGUCAGUGUGGCUUUUGUUUUAAUUUUGGUAACUGUCAAAAUUAGACCUUGGAUUACUGGAAAAUACUAUCUUGGCUACACUUUGGGUUUUUUGUUUGUUUGUUUGUUUUUAUGUCACAAGUUACUAAGCAAUCCCUUAAGUCUUUUUUUAGGACACUCCAGGUAUUUGGUCAUUCUCAUAUCCUAGUUGUGGGACACUCAGAAUUCAUCCUGUGAAUUCAUCCAGUUUGCAGGAUGCUGAUACUCGUGAGAGCUUUUCCCCUCACAGGAGCCACAGCUUCUAUCAGAACUUUAUGUUGCUAAAUGAGCAGCUUCAUUUUAGGAAGCAAGAGAAAUUCCAGAAUGGGGAUUUUCUCAGACAGCUGAAUUUUUUGGAGAUGGGAUCUGCUUAGUAAUCAUGAGCUGGAAUGUUAGAAAUCCUUGCUCUUUUAUUUAUGAUUCGGAAAGAAACCUUAGUCAUUCAGUCUCUCCUAUCUUUGUGUGCUUUGUUUGCCUAAUACCAACAAAUAAAUACUCUUUUUCCUAAUUCCCAGAGUUUCACAUCCUGCUCAUCCAUUCUACUGUUUUGAGAACUUUUGCUCUGAUGAAUUUAUUCUGUCAGACCUAAAUUCCUUGUUACCUGUUUGUGUAACUCAAACUUGCUGAUACAGUCUAUAGAAUAAUAAAUGUUCUUCAGUUUCAAAUAGAGAUUGACUCCCUGUCAGAGUAUACCGUUGAGUCCAGUGUCCUAACAUCUGUGGCUGUGGUCCUGCACGGUGGUCUUUGAGGACUGCGUCACUUACCAGCUGUGUGACCCUGGUCACCCACUUAAUCUCCCUGAGCCUUGAUUUCCUCAUCUUUAAAAUGAUGGGCUUCAUGUUGACAAUCCUUGUUUUUUCAGAAUAACACCUAGAAGCAAUGUGAGAGUCUUCAAUUCCAAAGAAAUAUUGAACUAUGUUUACUACACUACAGUUAGGAAUGCAUUUAGUAUUUUAGGAAAGACUUUUUAAAAAAUAAGAGAGCCAAAACGUCCAGUUUCACAAAAGUUCUGUUUUGUUUAAACUACAUUGUAGUUUCUUAUUGCUAGAUGCUUUAAAUCACAUUAUCUCAAAUUCUCACAGAUACAUUUUCAAAGAUAUAUGAAAUUAUCCUCAAUUUUCAGAAGCAAAUAAAUUUAGUUGAUUUCCC